GAGUGAGUGGCGGACGGGUGAGUAACACGUGGGUAACCUGCCCUAAAGUGGGGGAUAACAUUUGGAAACAGAUGCUAAUACCGCAUAAAACCUAACACCGCAUGGUGUAGGGUUGAAAGAUGGUUUCGGCUAUCACUUUAGGAUGGACCCGCGGUGCAUUAGUUAGUUGGUGAGGUAAAGGCUCACCAAGACCGUGAUGCAUAGCCGACCUGAGAGGGUAAUCGGCCACACUGGGACUGAGACACGGCCCAGACUCCUACGGAGGCAGCAGUAGGGAAUCUUCCACAAUGGACGAAAGUCUGAUGGAGCAACGCCGCGUGAGUGAAGAAGGUUUUCGGAUCGUAAACUCUGUUGUUGGAGAAGAAUGUAUCUGAUAGUAACUGAUCAGGUAGUGACGGUAUCCAACCAGAAAGCCACGGCUAACUACGUG
This 430-nucleotide ribosomal RNA is filed under the name uncultured bacterium. Its description in RNAcentral is "bacterial SSU rRNA". It matches the Rfam family "Bacterial small subunit ribosomal RNA", at positions 89 to 507 of the family's 1533-position model. The record is from RNAcentral.